This 460-nucleotide ribosomal RNA is filed under the name uncultured bacterium. RNAcentral describes it as "partial 16S ribosomal RNA". It matches the Rfam family "Bacterial small subunit ribosomal RNA", at positions 338 to 795 of the family's 1533-position model. The record is from RNAcentral.
CCUACGGGAGGCAGCAGUGAGGAAUAUUGGUCAAUGGGCGCGAGCCUGAACCAGCCAAGUCGCGUGAGGGAAGACGGUCCUAUGGAUUGUAAACCUCUUUUGUCAGGGAGCAAUUGGCGCUACGUGUAGCGUUAUCGAGAGUACCUGAAGAAAAAGCAUCGGCUAACUCCGUGCCAGCAGCCGCGGUAAUACGGAGGAUGCGAGCGUUAUCUGGAUUUAUUGGGUUUAAGGGGUGCGUAGGCGGAAUGCAAAGUCAGCGGGAAAAUCGCGGGGCUCAACCUCGCUCCGCCGUUGAAACUGGCGUUCUUGAGUGGGCGAGAAGUAUGCGGAAUGCGUGGUGUAGCGGUGAAAUGCAUAGAUAUCACGCAGAACUCCGAUUGCGAAGGCAGCAUACCGGCGCCCAACUGACGCUGAAGCACGAAAGCGUGGGUAUCGAACAGGAUUAGAUACCCUUGUAGUC